Molecule: long non-coding RNA, 759 nt
Organism: Lolium perenne
Lineage: Eukaryota; Viridiplantae; Streptophyta; Magnoliopsida; Poales; Poaceae
Source: RefSeq, a predicted model, not a curated record
CACCACCGGCGACCCACCGGUCGCGCCUCCUCGACACCGUCGUACGGAUGUAAGUUUUCUCAUUUCCAUCUUCUUUCCAACAUUCAUCCCUGAAUGGCUAAAUUGACAUGACUCCUUUUCUUGGAAAUUGUAGGCUCACUUUGAGGCCGCCUACGCGGCCGCUUAUGAGAAGUAUUUGACGGUUGUAGCAGAGUGGGACCUCAAGAGAGCGGCUUGGGAAGAGUACCAGGAGGCGACGAGUCGUGCGGUCAGGACGUUCUUCCUGACUGGAGAGAGGAUCGCACUUCCGGCCGAGGAGCCAGCUAGGCCGGGGCCGACUCCAGUGUGCCCAUCGAGGGAAGCUUUCGCGGCCACAUACUACGCACGGACUCCGGGCACGGGAAGUUCGCGGAACCGACCCUCUCCUGGUUCGUCGCGCGAGGGCACACCGAUGCACCCCGGCCGCCAUUCUCCCGGUGCUUCAGGGUUUUCACCUGCUGGCGAUGGUUCAGGCCAUGGUUCUACUUCGGUCUACCUCGACAAAGGCCGGACGCCUGAAUUUACGAGUCGGGAACUUGGUUGGACCCCCUGAUCUUAGUUUCCCUUAGCUAGGUGUCUAGCGGGUGUGCGUCGAUCGUGUGUGCCAUGUGUCGACGAUGUAUGAUGAUUGUGUGUGCUACAUGACACAUAUUUGUAUCACGAUGAUGUUGUUGCUACAUUUGAUGAUGAUUAUGUGUUGUGCAACAUUUGUGAUGCAUUUGAAUGUAUAUUACUGCUAUA